AGCAGCCGCGGUAAUUCCAGCUCCAAUAGCGUAUAUUAAAGCUGUUGCAGUUAAAAAGCUCGUAGUUGAAUUUCAGGCCUGGCUGGACGGUCCGCCCUUCAGGUGAGUAUUGUCUGUGGUCGGGUCCUACCUUCUGGCGAAGCGUCAUGGCCUUAACCGGCUGUGGCGGGGAACCAGGACUUUUACUGUGAAAAAAUUAGAGUGUUCAAAGCAGGCAAUCGCUUGGAUACAUUAGCAUGGAAUAAUGGAAUAGGACAAUGGUUCUAUUUGUUGGUUUCUAGGACCGUUGUAAUGAUUAAUAGGGAUAGUUGGGGGCAUUAGUAUUCAAUUGUCAGAGGUGAAAUUCUUGGAUUUAUUGAAGACUAACUACUGCGAAAGCAUUUGUCCAAGGAUGUUUUCAUUAAUUCAAGAACGAAAGUUAGGGGAGUCGAAGACGAUCAGAUACCGUCGUAGUCUUAACCAUAAACUAUGCCGACUAGGAAUCGGGCGAGUGUUGAAAAAAUGACGACGCUCGGCACCU
Molecule: ribosomal RNA, 520 nt
Filed under: uncultured Paraglomus
Lineage: Eukaryota; Fungi; Glomeromycota; Glomeromycetes; Paraglomerales; Paraglomeraceae
Description: SSU rRNA
Rfam family: Eukaryotic small subunit ribosomal RNA
Source: RNAcentral